RNAcentral lists this long non-coding RNA (876 nucleotides) under Sarcophilus harrisii (Tasmanian devil). RNAcentral's name for it is "lncRNA (ENSSHAG00000029563.1)". Lineage: Eukaryota; Metazoa; Chordata; Mammalia; Dasyuromorphia; Dasyuridae. The record is from RNAcentral.
UCCUCAAACUCAGUAAAGGCGGUUUUCUUAUGGUUUUCUAUGGGUUGCAAAGCAAGAAUCAUAUCCAGAGACACAGGAGUGAUUUGCUGUUUCUUUUUCCAGGUCAUCUUAUAAAUGAGGAAACUGAGGUAAACAAGGUCCAGCACUCCAUCCACUGCAAUACCUAGCUGCCCAAGGAGAAUCUCCCUGAUAAGGAUAACUUUAAAAAUCUGUGCUACAUUUUUCCUAACAGAUUCCCUUUUCCUGAAGAGGAGUGGAGGCUGCUUCUGGACAGAAAUGGCUGUUCCAUUUGCCCAGGACCCCAGUUCUACAAGAGAGAAUGUGAAAAGAGGAAGGAAAAAGGAAGAUGUGGAGAGGAAUGAUAAAUCCAAGCUGUUAAAUUGAGAAGUAGCUCAGGUUCAAGUCCCAGCUCAAAAGCAACUACCUCCAAGAAGAGACAGAAUUAUAUUGCAUUUAUACUGAAGAGCUUGACCACUUAGAAAUGGAUACUUUGCCUGGAUAUAAUCCUGCCUGGCUAAAUCCCCAAGGAUAAAGGUGACUAAGAUUUGCUGCAAGUGGAGCCGGUGACUGAAGCUUUAUAAUGAUUUUCCAGGACAUGACUGUCAAUAGCUUUACCUAAAUAGACAUUUUAGUAAGCACACUGAAAACAUUUGUAGCUUUUUAUUGUGAAGGUUCUGGUCACAAAACAGUGCAUACAACUCAAGUGGCAGCCAGCUUAUCCUCCACCUGCAAGAAAGUACAAAAAUGUGAGGUCAUCAAAGUGAAUACAGGAUUUGUUAUUUCCACACCUGAUAGGACACAUUGCUAAUAUUUUAUUUCACAAGGGAAUUCUGAUUUGAAACCUUGGGUACUUAUUGUGCACAUUUAAUUGUCAUU